UACGAAGGGGGCUAGCGUUGUUCGGAAUUACUGGGCGUAAAGCGCAUGUAGGCGGAUAUUUAAGUCAGGGGUGAAAUCCCGCAGCUCAACUGCGGAACUGCCUUUGAUACUGGGUAUCUUGAGUAUGGAAGAGGUGAGUGGAAUUCCGAGUGUAGAGGUGAAAUUCGUAGAUAUUCGGAGGAACACCAGUGGCGAAGGCGGCUCACUGGUCCAUUACUGACGCUCAGGUGCGAAAGCGUGGGGAGCAAACAGG
This 253-nucleotide ribosomal RNA is filed under the name uncultured bacterium. RNAcentral's name for it is "partial 16S ribosomal RNA". It matches the Rfam family "Bacterial small subunit ribosomal RNA", at positions 524 to 776 of the family's 1533-position model. The record is from RNAcentral.